Molecule: unclassified non-coding RNA, 456 nt
Filed under: Hevea brasiliensis (rubber tree)
Lineage: Eukaryota; Viridiplantae; Streptophyta; Magnoliopsida; Malpighiales; Euphorbiaceae
Source: RNAcentral
AAAAGAAGGUUUUGAGAGGCUUUGAUGAAGAAAUUAGGGAUUUUGUUGGUGAACAGAUGUCACUGAGAGGCAUUGAGUUCCAUACCGAGGAGUCGCCCCAGGCUAUUGUCAAGUCAGCAGAUGGUUCACUGUCUAUAAAGACUAACAGAGGAACAGUUGAAGGUUUCUCUCAUAUCAUGUUUGCAACAGGACGAAGUCCAAAUACUAAGAAUUUAGGAUUAGAUACAGUGGGAGUGAAAAUGACAAAGAACGGAGCCAUAGAGGUUGACGAGUAUUCUCGUACAUCAGUGCCAUCAAUUUGGGCAGUUGGAGAUGUUACUGAUAGAAUUAAUCUAACUCCAGUUGCUUUGAUGGAGGGAGGAGCAUUGGCAAAAACUAUUUUUGCUGGUGAACCCACAAAACCUGAUUAUAGGAACGUACCAUGUGCAGUAUUUUCUCAGCCACCUAUUGGACUAG